RNAcentral lists this transfer RNA (67 nucleotides) under Margarites vorticiferus. Its description in RNAcentral is "tRNA-Ile". Lineage: Eukaryota; Metazoa; Mollusca; Gastropoda; Trochida; Margaritidae. The record is from RNAcentral.
GUGAAGUGCCGGAUAAAACGGACUGCGUUGAUGAUGCAGAGCAUGAGAGACCCCUCUCCUUUACCUA